ACGCUAGCUACAGGCUUAACACAUGCAAGUCGAGGGGCAGCAUGGUCUUAGCUUGCUAAGGCCGAUGGCGACCGGCGCACGGGUGAGUAACACGUAUCCAACCUGCCGUCUACUCUUGGACAGCCUUCUGAAAGGAAGAUUAAUACAAGAUGGCAUCAUGAGUCCGCAUGUUCACAUGAUUAAAGGUAUUCCGGUAGACGAUGGGGAUGCGUUCCAUUAGAUAGUAGGCGGGGUAACGGCCCACCUAGUCUUCGAUGGAUAGGGGUUCUGAGAGGAAGGUCCCCCACAUUGGAACUGAGGCACGGUCCAAACUCCUACGGGAGGCAGCAGUGAGGAAUAUUGGUCAAUGGGCGAGAGCCUGAACCAGCCAAGUAGCGUGAAGGAUGACUGCCCUAUGGGUUGUAAACUUCUUUUAUAAAGGAAUAAAGUCGGGUAUGCAUACCCGUUUGCAUGUACUUUAUGAAUAAGGAUCGGCUAACUCCGUGCCAGCAGCCGCGGUAAUACGGAGGAUCCGAGCGUUAUCCGGAUUUAUUGGGUUUAAAGGGAGCGUAGAUGGAUGUUUAAGUCAGUUGUGAAAGUUUGCGGCUCAACCGUAAAAUUGCAGUUGAUACUGGAUAUCUUGAGUGCAGUUGAGGCAGGCGGAAUUCGUGGUGUAGCGGUGAAAUGCUUAGAUAUCACGAAGAACUCCGAUUGCGAAGGCAGCCUGCUAAGCUGCAACUGACACUGAGGCUCGAAAGUGUGGGUAUCAAACAGGAUUAGAUACCCUGGUAGUCCACACGGUAAACGAUGAAUACUCGCUGUUUGCGAUAUACAGCAAGCGGCCAAGCGAAAGCGUUAAGUAUUCCACCUGGGGAGUACGCCGGCAACGGUGAAACUCAAAGGAAUUGACGGGGGCCCGCACAAGCGGAGGAACAUGUGGUUUAAUUCGAUGAUACGCGAGGAACCUUACCCGGGCUUAAAUUGCAGAUGAAUUACGGUGAAAGCCGUAAGCCGCAAGGCAUCUGUGAAGGUGCUGCAUGGUUGUCGUCAGCUCGUGCCGUGAGGUGUCGGCUUAAGUGCCAUAACGAGCGCAACCCUUGUUGUCAGUUACUAACAGGUUCCGCUGAGGACUCUGACAAGACUGCCAUCGUAAGAUGUGAGGAAGGUGGGGAUGACGUCAAAUCAGCACGGCCCUUACGUCCGGGGCUACACACGUGUUACAAUGGGGGGGUACAGAGGGCCGCUACCACGCGAGUGGAUGCCAAUCCCCAAAACCUCUCUCAGUUCGGACUGGAGUCUGCAACCCGACUCCACGAAGCUGGAUUCGCUAGUAAUCGCGCAUCAGCCACGGCGCGGUGAAUACGUUCCCGGGCCUUGUACACACCGCCCGUCAAGCCAUGGGAGCCGGGGGUACCUGAAGUGCGUAACCGCGAGGAGCGCCCUAGGGUAAAACUGGUGACUGGGGCUA
This 1447-nucleotide ribosomal RNA is filed under the name uncultured organism. RNAcentral describes it as "SSU rRNA". It matches the Rfam family "Bacterial small subunit ribosomal RNA". The record is from RNAcentral.